RNAcentral lists this ribosomal RNA (550 nucleotides) under Haptophyta environmental samples. RNAcentral describes it as "SSU rRNA". It matches the Rfam family "Eukaryotic small subunit ribosomal RNA", at positions 595 to 1149 of the family's 1831-position model. Lineage: Eukaryota; Haptophyta. The record is from RNAcentral.
UAGCGUAUAUUAAAGUUGUUGCAGUUAGAACGCUCGUAGUCGGAUUUCGGGGCGUUCCGACCGGUCUGCCGAUGGGUAUGCACUGGCCGGAGUGUCCUUUUUGCCGGAGACCGUGCCUACUCUUAACUGAGCGGGGGCGGGAGACGGCACUUUUACUUUGAAAAAAUCAGAGUGUUUCAAGCAGGCAGCUCGCUCUUGCAUGGAUUAGCAUGGGAUAAUGAAAUAGGACUUUGGUGCUAUUUUGUUGGUUUCGAACACCGAAGUAAUGAUGAGAAGGGACAGUCAGGGGCACUCGUAUUCCGCAGAGAGAGGUGAAAUUCUCAGACCCGCGGAAGACGAACCACUGCGAAAGCAUUUGCCAGGGAUGCUUUCACUGAUCAAGAACGAAAGUUAGGGGAUCGAAGAUGAUCAGAUACCGUCGUAGUCUUAACCAUAAACCAUGCCGACUAGGGAUUGGAGGAUGUUCACUGAUUGACUCCUUCAGCACCUUACGGGAAACUAAAGUCUUUGGGUUCCGGGGGGAGUAUGGUCGCAAGGCUGAAACUUAAAG